GCUGUGAAUAGAGUUUCUGCAGUUGCUGCGAUAUUGAUUGUGACGCUCCUUGCAUUAGCUUGCGUGGUCAGCUGUGACGAUGACUCCUACAUACUCGUCGACGAGGCUAAAGGAACGUUUGCCUGUAAGGUGAAGCAGAGUGACGCUGGUUACUCGCUGCUGCCUCUUAAGAAACUCUGCGAUGGCAGCAAGGACUGUCUCAAUGGCGUUGACGAGAAGGAGGGAUGCAAGAGGAAGGAGAAGCUCAAGUACAAAAAGACACCAAACAAGAAUGAGUUGUAGCCAUAGUUUUGAUGAAAGGAAGAGCGGAAGAAAGGAAGAGCGUGAAAUACUCAGGAGUGCACCGUUGAUAUUGGGCGAGUGAUCACCAGAAGAAAGGUCGUGAUAUGAGUCCACCGGUACAACGUCCCUCAAUACAUCACCGAGAUCUGAGGAACUGUCAGAUGUGUUAGUUAAUCAUGCUAAUUAAGCAGCGUACGUAAUCGUCAGCAUUCGUUUUUCAUGAUCAGUUUGGUGUAACUGCCAAUAUGCCAUGAAACCCUUUGUUUAAUUCUGGUGUAUAUGUAUGUGACGAACCAUGUAUAUUUGUACGUGACGUACAUUGUACAAUUUUAUGUGGCAAAGUAACUCUGUAUAUUUGUAUGUGGUGUACAUUGUAUAAUUUUAUGUCACGUAGUAGUACAUUGUAUAUUUCUACGCAGCGUACAUUGUGUAAUUUUAUGUGGCGAAGUAACCUAGCUUGUAUGUUUGUAUGUGGUGAAUUUUGUACAUUUGUAUGCAGUACAAUAUAAAACAGCAGCUGUUUUCUCUA
This is a long non-coding RNA of Priapulus caudatus, 811 nucleotides long. RefSeq lists it as uncharacterized. Lineage: Eukaryota; Metazoa; Priapulida; Priapulimorpha; Priapulimorphida; Priapulidae. The record is from RefSeq and is a predicted model, not a curated record. The transcript has 3 exons.